GACGAACGCUGGCGGCGUGCCUAAUACAUGCAAGUCGAGCGAAUUGAUGGGAGCUUGCUCCCUGAUAUUAGCGGCGGACGGGUGAGUAACACGUGGGUAACCUGCCUGUAAGAUUGGGAUAACUCCGGGAAACCGGAGCUAAUACCGGAUAACAUUUCGAACCGCAUGGUUUGAAAUUGAAAGAUGGUUUCGGCUAUCACUUACAGAUGGACUCGCGGCGCAUUAGCUAGUUGGUGAGGUAACGGCUCACCAAGGCAACGAUGCGUAGCCGACCUGAGAGGGUGAUCGGCCACACUGGGACUGAGACACGGCCCAGACUCCUACGGGAGGCAGCAGUAGGGAAUCUUCCGCAAUGGACGAAAGUCUGACGGAGCAACGCCGCGUGAACGAUGAAGGCCUUCGGGUCGUAAAGUUCUGUUGUUAGGGAAGAACAAGUACCAGAGUAACUGCUGGUACCUUGACGGUACCUAACCAGAAAGCCACGGCUAACUACGUGCCAGCCGCCGCCGUAA
RNAcentral lists this ribosomal RNA (512 nucleotides) under uncultured bacterium. RNAcentral describes it as "partial 16S ribosomal RNA". It matches the Rfam family "Bacterial small subunit ribosomal RNA", at positions 28 to 523 of the family's 1533-position model. The record is from RNAcentral.